Molecule: ribosomal RNA, 279 nt
Filed under: uncultured bacterium
Lineage: Bacteria
Description: partial 16S ribosomal RNA
Rfam family: Bacterial small subunit ribosomal RNA
Source: RNAcentral
UGCCAGCCGCCGCGGUAAUACGGAGGGUGCAAGCGUUAAUCGGAAUUACUGGGCUUAAAGAGCUCGUAGGUGGUUAAAAAAGUUGAUGGUGAAAUCCCAAGGCUCAACCUUGGAACUGCCAUCAAAACUUUUUAGCUAGAGUGUGAUAGAGGUAAGUGGAAUUUCUAGUGUAGAGGUGAAAUUCGUAGAUAUUAGAAAGAACACCAAAUGCGAAGGCAACUUACUGGGUCACUACUGACACUGAGGAGCGAAAGCAUGGGUAGCGAAGAGGAUUAGAUA